RNAcentral lists this ribosomal RNA (468 nucleotides) under uncultured bacterium. RNAcentral describes it as "partial 16S ribosomal RNA". It matches the Rfam family "Bacterial small subunit ribosomal RNA", at positions 28 to 507 of the family's 1533-position model. The record is from RNAcentral.
GACGAACGCUGGCGGCGUGCUUAACACAUGCAAGUCGAACGGAAAGGCCCUGCUUUUGUGGGGUGCUCGAGUGGCGAACGGGUGAGUAACACGUGAGUAACAUGCCCUUGACUUUGGGAUAACUUCAGGAAACUGGGGCUAAUACCGGAUAGGAGCUCCUGCUGCAUGGUGGGGGUUGGAAAGUUUCGGCGGUUGGGGAUGGACUCGCGGCUUAUCAGCUUGUUGGUGGGGUAGUGGCUUACCAAGGCUUUGACGGGUAGCCGGCCUGAGAGGGUGACCGGCCACCUUGGGCCUGCGAGACGGCCCAGACUCCUACGGUAGGCAGCAGUCGGGAAUAUUGCACAGUGGGCGGAAGCCUGAUGCAACGGCGCCGCGUGCGGGAUGACGGCCUUCGGGUUGUAAACCGCUUUCGCCUGUGACGAAGCGUGAGUGACGGUAAUGGGUAAAGAAGCACCGGCUAACUACGUG